Paramuricea clavata is the source of this 231-nucleotide non-coding RNA. The record is from the annotation of a GenBank genome assembly. NCBI's taxonomy places the organism in Eukaryota, Metazoa, Cnidaria, Anthozoa, Malacalcyonacea, Plexauridae.
GUGUGAGGUAAAAACCCACCUGAUCAAACAGGACGGAGAAUAUAUAAAUAUAUACAUUCAAUUCACACAAUCAAGGAACAAAUUAAAUAUUUCGCUUAACUAUUAAAGCCUUUUGGCCAAACUUACGGGCAUUGUCGUGGAAAUCAGUUUGUGAUUUUCAAUGUUUGGUCAAAUGUUUCCCUGUAUCCCAUAUCUGGAAACAUUGGCUUUUAAUGCAGAACAAAAGUUGCU